AAAGCGCGAUAGGUAGUGUGAAUUGCAGAAUUCCGUGAAUCAUCGAAUUUUUGAACGCAUAUUGCGCCCUUGCUCUCGGGCUUGGGCAUGUCUGCCUCAGCGUCGUUAUUAAUGGCUCUACAACCAAUCUGGUUCUUACCAUAGUUUUGGUAUGGACUCAAGUAAUGACUUGCACCUAGUGCAACGGUCAACAGCAUCCUUGUUGGGUACUGUUCAUUGUUAGCAAACUUUUAAGUAUGUUUAAUGUGAAUUGUACAUGACUGCAAGGCAAUGCCUGUAAUCACCAUUCGACCUGAGUUUAGGCAGGGCUACCCGCUGAACUUAAGC
This 327-nucleotide unclassified non-coding RNA is filed under the name plant metagenome. Its description in RNAcentral is "partial contains 5.8S ribosomal RNA, internal transcribed spacer 2, and large subunit ribosomal RNA". The stretch from base 1 to 105 matches the Rfam family "5.8S ribosomal RNA", at positions 50 to 154 of the family's 154-position model. The record is from RNAcentral.